UGCUGGCAUGUAUCUUCCCUCAGGAG
This 26-nucleotide non-coding RNA is filed under the name Mus musculus (house mouse). The record is from RNAcentral. Lineage: Eukaryota; Metazoa; Chordata; Mammalia; Rodentia; Muridae.